Bos taurus (domestic cattle) is the source of this 921-nucleotide long non-coding RNA. The record is from Ensembl. Lineage: Eukaryota; Metazoa; Chordata; Mammalia; Artiodactyla; Bovidae.
UGUAUUGCCUUUUUUUCAUUUAAGAUGAUAUUUUCUUGGUUCUCCCAGGUAUGAAGUGUGAUUUUCUAUUGUAUCCUGGACAUCUUGGGUCUUAUAUUAUCAGGCUGUGUAUUUUAUUACAUCAUCUAUUAUAUCAAGCCUCAAAUGGUACCGCAUGUAUGGGAAAAUGAAGAUAUCAUCUCAUGUUGCUAAGUGAAGGUGGAAGCAGCGGUUUCCCACUUAGCAUUAUUUAACACUGUCGAAGGAGAGAGGCAUUUUGUUGCUGCUGGGUAGGGCUGAAAGCUCAGGUUCCCCUUUGGUCCUCUGCUGACAGUACCUCACCUGGUAGAGUGAGGGCACCUCAUUACUAUUUUCUGUGUAUCUCCACCGACUCUGUGGCAGGGCAGGGGCACUGACCUCACUGCUGCUGAGUGGGAAUGAAAGUUCCAGCUCUCCACUUUGCCCUCAGUGACACCAGCCAGGACAGGAUGGGGCACAUUGUUAACUGAGUUUAGAAUUUCCCCCCAGAGUAAAUGACAUAGACACUUUCCCUGCAAUUCAACUACUCUACCUCUUAGUGACGUUCUUUAUUAUUGGAGUAUCCUGGAGGGAAUAUCACAAAAAUGAAAACAUGAAGAAAGAAAAAGGUAUGUUACCUUCAUCCAUGUACAAAGAUUUGACUAAUAACCUAAUUGAUUCUAAUUCUUAAUUCAUUUGUAAGUUGUAUAAAUUUAUUGGAAAUAAAUGAGCUUAUCUAAUCUUUUAUUAAGAGAAAGAAGUAAAAGGACAAUUUAUCUCCUCCCAAAUGGAAAAUAAAUAAUUGAAGAAAAGUCAGACCUGAUUUAUAUAAAAGCUAUGUUCUUGGUACAUUGGCAUUAUGUAAAAUGGAAUUUUGUCCAUAAAAGAAUUACUAUUCAUUUCUCUGUAAUUUUAUUUGUGAAU